GCGCCGCUAGCUCAACUGGCAGAGCAGCGGACUCUUAAUCCGCGGGUUCGGGGUUCGAGUCCCUGGCGGCGCACGA
This 76-nucleotide transfer RNA is filed under the name Micromonospora chersina. RNAcentral describes it as "tRNA_Lys_CTT". It matches the Rfam family "tRNA". Rfam says of the family: Transfer RNA (tRNA) molecules are approximately 80 nucleotides in length. Their secondary structure includes four short double-helical elements and three loops (D, anti-codon, and T loops). The record is from RNAcentral. Lineage: Bacteria; Bacillati; Actinomycetota; Actinomycetes; Micromonosporales; Micromonosporaceae. RNAcentral also lists the same sequence under 1 other name.